GGGGGGCGGGGAAAACUUCUGGCUCAGCCAAUAGCGGGGCGGUGGGAGUGAGGGCGCCAAUAGAAACUCGAGCCGCCAUGUCGGUGGAGGAGGCCGCCAUCUUGUUGAGGGGAAGCGCGCUGCCUGGGAAAGGAGGACGGUGGAACGGUUGUGAGCGUGCAGUGAUGAUGCAUACGUUUCUGAGUCUUGGAAAAGACCGACGCCUUUCAGUGCUUUUCUUUUAGCUAAAAGGUUAUGACACAAGCAAUUUUAUUUCUGAAUUUCCAGGAAGAAGAUGAUUCUUCCACUGUAUUCAUCACUAUUAAUAGGCUGAUGAUUGAUAAUGUUCUUUACUAUAAAGGGAUUAAAAUGGCGUAAGGAAAAAGAAUGUGUUGAUCUGAUAUGUUCAGUAUCUACGUAUUUAUACAAGAGCACACAAACAUUUGAAAACUGCCUUUCAGAAAUAAAACAUUAAGAAUCUUCCACAUUUAUCCCAUAAGUAAUAUAUCGAGAAAUUCUGUGAGGUUUUAUUGCAGUUUGUAAAUGUAAGAUGAAAUCCAAAAUAAAUAUUCUCUUUGAUAUAUUUGACUUCAUACAUUUGAAGGAUAUCUAACAUAGCCGCUGGAGUACCAUUUCUGUUUUAAAUACUGAACAUAUUUUCAAUAAAGUCAAAUGGGACAACUUAAAAUAUCAGAAAGCAUAUGUCUCAAUAUAGAACACGGAAUUUGAUUUUUCCUUCAUCAUAUUUCCUGCAUAUUUUCUGCACCUCUAGACACAGGCAAAAAAGCACUGGGGAAAUAGCAUGUUUAUGAAAAUGAAUUUCUGAAAUCUGUGUGUAUAAGCAGCUAAGACUGAUUGAAUUAAAAUAUAUCAUCCCGAUCUCUUCAUGAGACUCAGCUUAUGCAGUUGGUAGCAAGUUUUGUAUUUAAACAUAAGCAGCAAAAUCACAUGAUGGUUAAAUAGCUUUAGUGCAGCUAAGACUCAUUUGCAUAUUUUACAAAUUUGAACAAUGACAAUUAGUGCAGCAAUACUAAUCCUACUAGUGUUAUUUCUUGUAAAGUUUUAAAUAUCCCUGACAUAAAACAUUACCCUAUUAUUAUUUUCGUGUGGUAGGUAUCUCAAACUACUUGUCCAAAAUAAAAUAACAUAUAAAAUAAAAAUACUAGAAUUAGUGGUCUCCAAUGAUGGUGUAGCUUCAAGUUAGAUAUGCCUCAUUUCUAGCCCACAAAAUGUUAAAAAUAUAUAUUUUUAAAAAUUUUGGUUAAAAAAAUUGUAAUGUUUAUCAUAUUAAUUAAAUGAAAUUCUUACAAGCAGAGUGGAAUCUUGUCUUUUGGAAGCACAAUCUGAGAUUUAAGGAUUGGGCAACAUUUCCAAAAAUAAAGGAUGCUAGAUCUCUUCUAGUACUACAGUGCCAGUACGGUAGAGGAAGCAGAAGAGUAGCUUGCUUUUUGUUUUCCAAGCUGGCCAUUGCUUGAAGACAGGCUAGACAUGAAUCUGCUUGUGCAAGGUGGCAUGUGACUUCCUUUGCAUUGCUUGUUUUUGUAAGCUAUUUAUCUCAUGAUCUAUGAAUUUUCUUGCUUUUGUUCUUCCUAUAAGCCCCUCUCCCACUGGUGGUGGGGAGGUGAGUGAGCAGCUGUGUGAGUGCAUAUCUGUUGGCCAGGGUCAGCCCACUGCAGCAGGACAUGUAACUAUAUGCAGUUUAUGUUACUAAUAAGUACUUAUUCGUAUUCAUUGGCUUUUCCUACUGAAACUUGUGACAGUUUGAAC
This 1746-nucleotide long non-coding RNA is filed under the name Gallus gallus (chicken). Its description in RNAcentral is "lncRNA (ENSGALG00010014428.1)". Lineage: Eukaryota; Metazoa; Chordata; Aves; Galliformes; Phasianidae. The record is from RNAcentral.